AGGGCGUUAAAGAAAGAGCGUUUAGGGCGCCCGAGAACGGCUGGUUUAUUAUUUGGAGAUCUUGGUUGGUUUGAAGGGAUCGUGACACUUGUCCAGCCCAUAAUUUCAAUAGACAGAAUAGGGAAUAGCCCAUGGUCAAGUGCGCUGCUGCUUUGGGAAUUAGUUGAGGGUUGACAAUGCAGGGAAGGCAUGGAGCACGGCCUGCCACCUUCUCGAUGCACGACUUUUGCAAGCUACUAACUAGUGUAUGCUGUUGUUUGGCCCCUGGAACCCAAGGUGUUUUAAACCGCGGACGUCGAAUUCCCCAGAAGGAUCUUGGAGUGAAAAUAUACUGGAAUAUUUUCUGAGAAAUAACCGGAUUACAACAGAAGAUGGCACUGAGAUCAUCUGGUAUCAUGCAGCUAACCACAAGGCACAGAUGAAUGAGGCAUUGAAAAUCCUAAUCUAGCAAAUUCAUUGGACAAAGGAGGGCAUUCUUCUCUCUGCUUCCACCUGAACAGUGAGAAACAGCUGUCUGGACAUUUGUGUUUGCUAGAACUUUCUUCAAAAGGACUGUUCCAGAAUUUGGAUUUGGGGAUGAUGGUGGAAGUUAGAAAUUAUCUCUCAAUUAAGCUGUACCCACUGACCUAGCUUUAUAGGUAAUAUAAGUAAUAUUUUGAACCCCAUCUACUAAUUUGGCUACCUUAUUUCUCAGAAUUCUUUCAGAAAAUGAAAUGCUGUUUGUUGAGCCUUCAAACUGCCUCGAUAGCCUGAAGGCCCUGUGCAAACUGGCCUGUUUUUUCAAGUUCUCCUGUCCCAGUAUGCUUAGUUUGCGUCUGUACCAGCCUUAGAGUCCUCUCAUGGCCCAGCUCUUCUCCUCCUCUGACUGCCAUGUACAUUCUUUCUGGAAUGCUCUCUUCUCACACUUUGCCUGGCUAACCUCUUAAACAUCCUUUGGUAUCAAUUAAAUUGCCUGUUGCUUUAUGAAGACUUUUCUUGAACUCAGAAUCACAAUUCAGGGUAGCUCCCUAUACUCUUCCUUCACAUGUGAACUUCUGUGUCCAAUUUCU
Non-coding RNA from Ictidomys tridecemlineatus (thirteen-lined ground squirrel), 1049 nucleotides. The record is from RefSeq and is a predicted model, not a curated record. Lineage: Eukaryota; Metazoa; Chordata; Mammalia; Rodentia; Sciuridae.